Notothenia coriiceps (black rockcod) is the source of this 706-nucleotide long non-coding RNA. RefSeq lists it as uncharacterized. NCBI's taxonomy places the organism in Eukaryota, Metazoa, Chordata, Actinopteri, Perciformes, Nototheniidae. The record is from RefSeq and is a predicted model, not a curated record. The transcript has 2 exons.
UGACACUAGACUGUGUGGAGAUUUCUCUGGCACGCGUCUUUGAGAGUGGCCAGGCUUACGUUGCCUUGUCCCGUGCUCGCAGCCUGGAGGGUCUGCGGGUGAUGGACUUCGACCCCCGUGUGGUCAGGGCGGAUCCAGAUGUUCUCAUCUUCUACAAGAGACUGAGGAAGGAGAGGAUCCUCAUGCAGGCCUCUAUGGACGAUUUUAUUGGCAACAGCAACCAAGAAAACCCUUGGUGAGAAGGCGAAUCCAUCUCCUGGGACAUUAGGCACCGUGUGCAUCAUUUAUCCUGUGAUUAUCCACAUCAACUCAUCUUGGACCAUUGGUUUUCUCAAAUGCUGACUACUGGCCUCUACAAUCAGUCUACUUCGAUUUUGGUUUAAACCGGCAGCACUUGAAGGCACACUGCCAUCUCCUGGUCAUUUGUUUUGAUAUGCUCAUUUCUAUGCCUUGAUUUUUUAUUUAUUAUGAUUGUUGGUAUAUACUCCAAUAAAAUUUUAGCACAUUUGUAUCUCUGCUUGUACUGUUGUUUUAUCAUUGAGCGGUCUCAUUGACCUGCCAUCACAAUACACUGAAUGGAAAUUAUUUUAAAUGCAGCUGAUAACCAUAUUAGAGUGGCUGUGAGACAACAGGUGUGCUUGAUGUUUUUCACGUUAAUAGUUCAAGGCCAAAAAACAGGGCAUUUGUCGUCAGAAAUGGGAAAAUG